RNAcentral lists this ribosomal RNA (805 nucleotides) under Resinicium cf. friabile MS77. RNAcentral's name for it is "eukaryotic LSU rRNA". The stretch from base 509 to 805 matches the Rfam family "Eukaryotic large subunit ribosomal RNA", at positions 1 to 292 of the family's 3401-position model. Lineage: Eukaryota; Fungi; Basidiomycota; Agaricomycetes; Hymenochaetales. The record is from RNAcentral.
UUAAUGAAUUUUGCACGAUUAGAGUUGAGCUGGUUAACCUAGUUAACAAGUGCUCAUUCUAAUUGACAAAUCCACUCAUUAUUUAACACCUGUGAACUUAUCUAUUAUAAACAUUAUAAUAUGUCAUUGGAACGUUUGAUUAUAAUAAGUUAAUACAACUUUCAACAACGGAUCUCUUGGCUCUCGCAUCGAUGAAGAACGCAGCGAAAUGCGAUAAGUAAUGUGAAUUGCAGAAUUCAGUGAAUCAUCGAAUCUUUGAACGCACCUUGCGCUCCCUGGUAUUCCGGGGAGCAUGCCUGUUUGAGUGUCGUGAAGUCAUCAUGGUCAUGAUCUUUAAUUAAUCAUGGCUUGGAUUUGGAGGUUAUGUUGGCUUUCAGUCGACUCCUCUUAAAUGUAUUAGCUCAGUGUUUAAUGCUUAGAGCGGUUCACGGUGUGAUAAAUUAUCUACACUUCAACUAAUCUAAGUUAGCUGGCUUCUAAUAGAUCCUUUGUGAUCACUUUGUGUAUUUGACCUCAAAUCAGGUAGGACUACCCGCUGAACUUAAGCAUAUCAAUAAGCGGAGGAAAAGAAACUAACAAGGAUUCCCCUAGUAACUGCGAGUGAAGAGGGAAAAGCUCAAAUUUAAAAUCUGGCAGCUUUGGUUGUCCGAGUUGUAAUCUGGAGAAGUGUUUUCAGUGCAGGACCGUGUACAAGUCUCUUGGAAUGGAGCAUCAUAGAGGGUGAGAAUCCCGUCUUUGACAUGGACUACCUGUGCUUUGUGAUACACUCUCAAAGAGUCGAGUUGUUUGGGAAUGCAGCUCAAAA